This 1017-nucleotide ribosomal RNA is filed under the name uncultured bacterium. RNAcentral's name for it is "bacterial SSU rRNA". It matches the Rfam family "Bacterial small subunit ribosomal RNA", at positions 355 to 1375 of the family's 1533-position model. The record is from RNAcentral.
UGAGGAAUAUUGGUCAAUGGACGAGGGUCUGAACCAGCCAAGUAGCGUGAAGGAUGAAGGUCCUACGGAUUGUAAACUUCUUUUAUAAGGGAAUAAACCCUCCCACGUGUGGGAGCUUGUAUGUACCUUAUGAAUAAGCAUCGGCUAACUCCGUGCCAGCAGCCGCGGUAAUACGGAGGAUGCGAGCGUUAUCCGGAUUUAUUGGGUUUAAAGGGAGCGUAGGUGGAUUGUUAAGUCAGUUGUGAAAGUUUGCGGCUCAACCGUAAAAUUGCAGUUGAAACUGGCAGUCUUGAGUACAGUAGAGGUGGGCGGAAUUCGUAGUGUAGCGGUGAAAUGCUUAGAUAUCACGAAGAACUCCGAUUGCGAAGGCAGCACACUAAUCCGUAACUGACGUUCAUGCUCGAAAGUGUGGGUAUCAAACAGGAUUAGAUACCCUGGUAGUCCACACGGUAAACGAUGGAUACUCGCUGUUGGCGAUAUACUGUCAGCGGCUUAGCGAAAGCGUUAAGUAUCCCACCUGGGGAGUACGCCGGCAACGGUGAAACUCAAAGGAAUUGACGGGGGCCCGCACAAGCGGAGGAACAUGUGGUUUAAUUCGAUGAUACGCGAGGAACCUUACCCGGGCUUAAAUUGCAAAGGAAUAAUCUGGAAACAGGUUAGUCUUCGGACCUUUGUGAAGGUGCUGCAUGGUUGUCGUCAGCUCGUGCCGUGAGGUGUCGGCUUAAGUGCCAUAACGAGCGCAACCCUCGCCGCCAGUUACUAACAGUUAAAGCUGAGGACUCUGGCGGGACUGCCAUCGUAAGAUGUGAGGAAGGUGGGGAUGACGUCAAAUCAGCACGGCCCUUACGUCCGGGGCUACACACGUGUUACAAUGGGCGGUACAGAAGGCAGCUACCUGGCGACAGGAUGCCAAUCCCGAAAGCCGCUCUCAGUUCGGACUGGAGUCUGCAACCCGACUCCACGAAGCUGGAUUCGCUAGUAAUCGCGCAUCAGCCACGGCGCGGUGAAUACGUUCCC